GGGGAAUUUUCCGCAAUGGGCGCAAGCCUGACGGAGCAAUACCGCGUGAGGGAGGAAGGCUCUUGGGUCGUAAACCUCUUUUCUCAGGGAAGAACACAAUGACGGUACCUGAGGAAUCAGCAUCGGCUAACUCCGUGCCAGCAGCCGCGGUAAUACGGAGGAUGCAAGCGUUAUCCGGAAUGAUUGGGCGUAAAGCGUCCGUAGGUGGUUAUGUAAGUCUGUGGUUAAAGCGUGGGGCUCAACCCCAUAAGGGCCAUGGAAACUACAAGACUUGAGUAAAGUAGGGGUAGAGGGAAUUCCCAGUGUAGCGGUGAAAUGCGUAGAGAUUGGGAAGAACACCGGUGGCGAAAGCGCUCUACUGGACUUAAACUGACACUGAGGGACGAAAGCUAGGGGAGCGAAAGGGAUUAGAUACCCCUGUAGUCCUAGCCGUAAACGAUGGAUACUAGGUGUUGCCCGUAUCGACCCGGGCAGUGCCGUAGCUAACGCGUUAAGUAUCCCGCCUGGGGAGUACGCACGCAAGUGUGAAACUCAAAGGAAUUGACGGGGGCCCGCACAAGCGGUGGAGUAUGUGGUUUAAUUCGAUGCAACGCAAGAACCUUACCAGGGCUUGACAUGUCUAGAAUUCUGCGAAAGUAGAAAGUGCCUUCAGGAGCUAGAACACAGGUCGUGCAUGGCUGUCGUCAGCUCGUGUCGUGAGAUGUUGGGUUCAGUCCCGCAACGAGCGCAACCCUCGUUGUUAGUUGCCAUCAUUCAAUUGGCACUCUAGCAAGACUGCCGGUGACGAACCGGAGGAAGGUGGGGAUGACGUCAGUCAGCAGCCCUUACGCCUGGGCUACCCACGUACUACAUGCUUCGGACAAGGGCAGCCACCUGCGUGGUGUGCAAUCCCCUAAAGCGGGGGUCAUUCCAAUUGCCGGUGUGCACGCCUCACGAAGGAGGGGGGAUCGCUUUGAGUCACCAGGUAAAAAAAUGGGGGGUGUUCCGUUUCCGGGCACUAUACCCCCCCCCCGGCACACCCAGGGGAGUUGUCCAGGCGGAGAGAGUUUAUUCUAAACCCCUAGAAAGAGGAAUCCGAAAGGAGGGGGUGAAGUCUGGGGUGUAGUCGCAACAAAGUAGCGCUACCCGAAAGGGGUGGCUGGAUCCCUCCUUUUGGAGACCCUCAACAUGUGGCCGAACCACACCGGAAAAGUCACAUGUUGUUUCCCAAGGUCUAGGGGUUUGAAAAGAGGACUUCAAACUUUAUUUUUUAAUUUAGCUUUUUUUGGGUAUAAGCUCAGGGAUAGAGCACACCCCUGAUAAGAGGGCGGUCUUUGGUUCAAGUCCCGGAAAGCCCACUUAUCCAAGGCAAAUGGUGAACACUAACUAGUCAACUUAAAUGGUGAUAGUGGGUUAUUGAAACUCGGGGGUUUAGUUCAGGUGGUAGAGCGCCUGUUCUGCAAGCGGGAUGUUAACGGGUCGUGUCCGCUAACCUCCCUCGGGGGCCCCAACAACAAAAGUUAGAGCACUCAACUAGAAUAGACACCGCCAACACCGGAAAUGAAUUCAGCGCCUAUAAAUUGAGUAGUUUGCUGGGCUCACAAGCCCACUUCGCACCCUGACAAAUGCAUAAUAAUCAACAGUCAGGUAGUCGUAAUGUAAGUUACAGACAAUCCAAACAUAAAUCAUUGAAACUUGUGAGGUAAGUUUUAGGUUCGAUUAGUUAAGUAACCGCACCGAAGACAACCCCCCAAAGCGGUCCAGCUACAAAGGGCUUUAGGCGGAACCCAGGCACACAAAAGCGAAG
RNAcentral lists this small RNA (1786 nucleotides) under uncultured Chamaesiphon sp. Its description in RNAcentral is "bacterial SSU rRNA". The stretch from base 1 to 1154 matches the Rfam family "Bacterial small subunit ribosomal RNA", at positions 356 to 1533 of the family's 1533-position model. The record is from RNAcentral. Lineage: Bacteria; Bacillati; Cyanobacteriota; Cyanophyceae; Gomontiellales; Chamaesiphonaceae.